RNAcentral lists this ribosomal RNA (315 nucleotides) under Triticum aestivum (bread wheat). RNAcentral's name for it is "partial small subunit ribosomal RNA". Lineage: Eukaryota; Viridiplantae; Streptophyta; Magnoliopsida; Poales; Poaceae. The record is from RNAcentral.
AUGGGGGUGGCAGAAAGGAAGAAUCGCCAUAUUCUGGAGGUUGCUCGAUCACCGAUGUUUACUAUGAAUGUGCCGAAAUUCUUGUGGGGUGAAGUUGUGAUGGCUGCAGCACACCUAAUCAAUCGCACAUCAUCGAGAGUACUAGGUAUGAAGUCACCUUCUGAGUUACUUCUGGGAAAGAAUGAUUUUGUGGUUCCUCCCAAGUUGUUCGGUUGUGUCUGCUUUGUCAGGGAUCACAGGCCAUCUGUGGGCAAAUUGGAUCCACUGGCCGUCAAGUGUAUCUUCACUGGGUACUCUUCUGGGCAGCGUGGCUAG